This 406-nucleotide ribosomal RNA is filed under the name uncultured bacterium. RNAcentral describes it as "partial 16S ribosomal RNA". It matches the Rfam family "Bacterial small subunit ribosomal RNA", at positions 30 to 526 of the family's 1533-position model. The record is from RNAcentral.
AUUGAACGCUGGCGGCAGGCCUAACACAUGCAAGUCGAGCGAGAGGCGGACGGGUGAGUAAUGUAUGGGGAUCUGCCUGAUGGAGGGGGAUAACUACUGGAAACGGUAGCUAAUACCGCAAACCAUCACAUGUAUCCAGAUGGGUUUAGCUUGUAGGUAAGGUAACGGCUUACCUAGGCGACGACCCCUAGCUGGUAUGAGAGGAUGAUCAGCCACACGGGGACUUAGACACGGCCCAGACUCCUACGGGAGGCAGCAGUGGGGAAUAUUGCACAAUGGGCGCAAGCCUGAUGCAGCCAUGCCGCGUGUAUGAAGAAGGCCUUCGGGUUGUAAAGUACUUUCAGUCGGGAGGCGUUACCGACAGAAGAAGCACCGGCUAACUCCGUGCCAGCAGCCGCGGUAAUUC